UACGUAGGUGGCAAGCGUUGUCCGGAAUUAUUGGGCGUAAAGCGCGCGCAGGCGGUCCUUUAAGUCUGAUGUGAAAGCCCACGGCUCAACCGUGGAGGGUCAUUGGAAACUGGGGGACUUGAGUGCAGAAGAGGAAAGCGGAAUUCCACGUGUAGCGGUGAAAUGCGUAGAGAUGUGGAGGAACACCAGUGGCGAAGGCGGCUUUCUGGGCAUUACCUGACGCUGAGGAGCGAAAGUGUGGGGAGCGAACAGG
RNAcentral lists this ribosomal RNA (253 nucleotides) under uncultured bacterium. RNAcentral's name for it is "partial 16S ribosomal RNA". It matches the Rfam family "Bacterial small subunit ribosomal RNA", at positions 524 to 776 of the family's 1533-position model. The record is from RNAcentral.